CAUUGGGGCUGAGACACGGCCCAAACUCCUACGGGAGGCAGCAGUGGGGAAUAUUGGACAAUGGGCGCAAGCCUGAUCCAGCCAUGCCGCGUGAGUGAUGACGGCCUUAGGGUUGUAAAGCUCUUUCGCUAGGGACGAUAAUGACGGUACCUAGACAAGAAGCCCCGGCUAACUUCGUGCCAGCAGCCGCGGUAAUACGAAGGGGGCUAGCGUUGUUCGGAAUUACUGGGCGUAAAGCGCGUGUAGGCGGGCGUUUAAGUCAGGGGUGAAAUGCCAGGGCUCAACCUUGGAACUGCCUUUGAUACUGAAUGUCUUGAGUCCGGGAGAGGUGAGUGGAACUGCGAGUGUAGAGGUGAAAUUCGUAGAUAUUCGCAAGAACACCAGUGGCGAAGGCGGCUCACUGGCCCGGAACUGACGCUGAGACGCGAAAGCGUGGGGAGCAAACAGGAUUAGAUACCCUGGUAGUCCACGCUGUAAACGAUGGAUGCUAGCCGUUGGGGAGCUUGCUCUUCAGUGGCGCAGCUAACGCUUUAAGCAUCCCGCCUGGGGAGUACGGUCGCAAGAUUAAAACUCAAAGGAAUGACGG
This 586-nucleotide ribosomal RNA is filed under the name uncultured bacterium. Its description in RNAcentral is "bacterial SSU rRNA". It matches the Rfam family "Bacterial small subunit ribosomal RNA", at positions 311 to 916 of the family's 1533-position model. The record is from RNAcentral.